RNAcentral lists this ribosomal RNA (418 nucleotides) under Goniomonas pacifica. Its description in RNAcentral is "partial Bacterial large subunit ribosomal RNA". It matches the Rfam family "Bacterial large subunit ribosomal RNA", at positions 976 to 1401 of the family's 2925-position model. Lineage: Eukaryota; Cryptophyceae; Goniomonadida; Goniomonadaceae. The record is from RNAcentral.
CAUGGCAGACAGACGGCGGGUGCUAAGGUCCGUCGUCGAAAGGGAAACAGCCCAGACCACCAGCUAAGGUCCCCAAAUCACGACUAAGUGGGAAAGGAUGUGGGAAGGCCAAGACAACCAGGAGGUUGGCUUAGAAGCAGCCAUCAUUUAAAGAAAGCGUAACAGCUCACUGAUCAAGCGCCUCUGCGCGGAAAAUGUAUCGGGACUAAAGUUAUUCGCCGAAAUUGCGGACUCGAAAGAGUGGUAGCGGAGCGUUCCGUAAGCCUGUGAAGGUGAACCGUGAGGUUUGCUGGAGGUAUCGGAAGUGAGAAUGCUGACAUGAGUAGCGACAAACAGGGUGAGAGACCCUGUCGCCGAAAGACCAAGGGUUCCUGCGUAAAGCUAAUCUGCGCAGGGUUAGCCGGCCCCUAAGGCAAGG